GCUCGGAUAGCUUAACUGGUAGAGCCCUUGGCGCGUAACCGAGAGAUCUGGGUUCCCAGAAAAAUUCCCACUGAGUA
This 77-nucleotide transfer RNA is filed under the name Cotesia glomerata. Its description in RNAcentral is "tRNA-Thr". Lineage: Eukaryota; Metazoa; Arthropoda; Insecta; Hymenoptera; Braconidae. The record is from RNAcentral.